AGAGUUUGAUUCUGGCUCAGGAUGAACGCUGGCGGCGUGCUUAACACAUGCAAGUCGAGCGAAGCGAUUGAGAUGAAGUUUUCGGAUGGAUUCCCGAUUGACUGAGCGGCGGACGGGUGAGUAACGCGUGGGUAACCUGCCUCAUACAGGGGGAUAACAGUUAGAAAUGACUGCUAAUACCGCAUAAGCGCACAGUGCCGCAUGGUACGGUGUGAAAAACUCCGGUGGUAUGAGAUGGACCCGCGUCUGAUUAGCUGGUUGGUGGGGUAACGGCCUACCAAGGCGACGAUCAGUAGCCGACCUGAGAGGGUGACCGGCCACAUUGGGACUGAGACACGGCCCAAACUCCUACGGGAGGCAGCAGUGGGGAAUAUUGCACAAUGGGGGAAACCCUGAUGCAGCAACGCCGCGUGAGUGAAGAAGUAUUUCGGUAUGUAAAGCUCUAUCAGCAGGGAAGAAAAUGACGGUACCUGACUAAGAAGCCCCGGCUAACUACGUGCCAGCAGCCGCGGUAAUACGUAGGGGGCAAGCGUUAUCCGGAUUUACUGGGUGUAAAGGGAGCGUAGACGGCGAGACAAGUCUGAAGUGAAAGCCCGGGGCUCAACCCCGCGGACUGCUUUGGAAACUGCCUUGCUAGAGUGUCGGAGAGGUAAGUGGAAUUCCUAGUGUAGCGGUGAAAUGCGUAGAUAUUAGGAGGAACACCAGUGGCGAAGGCGGCUUACUGGACGAUAACUGACGUUGAGGCUCGAAAGCGUGGGGAGCAAACAGGAUUAGAUACCCUGGUAGUCCACGCCGUAAACG
This 801-nucleotide ribosomal RNA is filed under the name uncultured bacterium. RNAcentral's name for it is "bacterial SSU rRNA". It matches the Rfam family "Bacterial small subunit ribosomal RNA", at positions 8 to 808 of the family's 1533-position model. The record is from RNAcentral.